ACAAGAAGUCACAUACUUUUAAUGUCAAGGUAAUUUACUAAGUUGAAUUGUUGGGAAAUUAAAGUGAAUUCAAAUGAAUUUUAAAUAGUAGUCCAUAGUCCAAAAUAGUCCAAAUAGAACCAUAGCUGGUUUGGAGAAUUUGUCCAAUUCAACUGUACUGGCUUAAAGAGUUUCUUCUUCAUAAAACACUGUUUUUGGUCGGAGUAACCUCUUCUGAAGUGGUCCACCCGCGGAAAAUUUAAAAAAAAGAACUAACAAUGAUAAUAAUAAAAAGUUCUUCCUGAGGCCUGAUUCUUAUUGCCUGAUGUCAGUCCCCCUCACUGGAGCAGGAGAGAGGGCAGACUGAAAGGAGGACAGGGUAGAUAUCGAGUGGUUCCCAGCAUGCAGUGUAUGCUCAUGUCAUAUGUCAAUUUUGCAGAAUCCAUCCACGAAAUUUGUUGCACCUCCAUCAAUAGAUGGGUUAUUUUCUGUAUAUGUAAUGUUUUAAAGCACCAAUACUGCACAUACAUAUUCCAGGCACCAUUACCACUUCAAUCUGUAAAGUGGCCAUGGUGUUUGAAGUAACCUUUAAAUUUGAUAUUAAAUUUGACUUAACUUUGAAUUCCUGAAUAUUAUCACUUUAGUCAACAAAUAUGUCUUUGUGCAAAAGCAUAUAGUGUGCAUUUAUUAUAUAUAACAGAAAAUAUACUUAUAGAAAAUAUUUCAGUCUGUUUAGAUAUUCUCUAUUAAGUACACCAAUGUGCCAAUUUGCACACCACGCCAUUUAUAAAGCUUGUUUCUGGCAAAGUUUAGUAAAACCUAAGUGGGUCUUACAGAGUCAGUUAGACAGAAUGAGGUCAAUUUCAACAUACCUAUUAGCUAUGUUAUGCUAUUUUAAACAGAGGUUUAUCUUUAGACAGCUCUUUUGAUCUAAAGGUUAUUAUAUGUUCAAAGCUGAUUAACCUAGCCAUGCUGCUGAUACAAGGCCAAAUACUUGAUUUAUGGUAGGUAAAAACAGAUGCAUACCCAAUACUACAUUCAACUAAAUGUGAAAAAAUACCUAAAUGCAAAACAAAUACAACUAAAUAUUACUUAUUAAAAGAAGUUAUAACUUUUUGUUCAUUUUGAAUGCUUACUUAUUUAUAGAAAUAUGAUAGUGAUUGAUUAAUUUUGCAUGUUAACCCC
Non-coding RNA from Pelobates cultripes (western spadefoot toad), 1164 nucleotides. NCBI's taxonomy places the organism in Eukaryota, Metazoa, Chordata, Amphibia, Anura, Pelobatidae. The record is from the annotation of a GenBank genome assembly.